UUGUUAGAGGCGCGAAGGUAAUCAGUACCCCGGCUCCGGUUCUCAAAAACCCAUGGAGCCGCCGGGAAAGGUGCAUUCGCCGAAACGGGUGCCGUUUGAGCGGGAACUUGUUGGGCGUCAGGAGAAGAUCCUGCCGACUGUCGCAAUACCAAUGCGGAGUGCUUUCAU
Molecule: non-coding RNA, 168 nt
Filed under: human gut metagenome
Description: Lysine riboswitch
Rfam family: Lysine riboswitch aptamer
About the family: Riboswitches are metabolite binding domains within certain messenger RNAs that serve as precision sensors for their corresponding targets. Allosteric rearrangement of mRNA structure is mediated by ligand binding, and this results in modulation of gene expression. This family includes riboswitches that sense lysine in a number of genes involved in lysine metabolism, including lysC.
Source: RNAcentral